Molecule: long non-coding RNA, 465 nt
Filed under: Rattus norvegicus (Norway rat)
Lineage: Eukaryota; Metazoa; Chordata; Mammalia; Rodentia; Muridae
Description: long non-coding RNA NONRATT033539
Source: RNAcentral
GUCCUGCAGGGGGCACUAAACCUCAGAUAGCAGUAAGCAAUUCGAUUCUGUGACAACAGGAAGCAGAACUUUGUAGUCAAUAGAGCUGCUGAGAUCAGAAUGGUUUCACAUUGUGACGGAGUGAACCCUUCUCACUCUCUGUGUUCAGACAGAAGCUGGACAGGGUGAGAAGAAAGAAGGAAUUAACGCCCACCCUCACCUAGUUACCUCACCUGUGGAAUUAAGUGGUGUUCUCAUGGCAACAGUUUUCCAAAACUUCACAGUCUUUCUGGGUGUAAGUCAGCAUUGCUGCUGCAGUUGAUGAACCGGAAAGCCGGGGAAAGCAAGCUCGACCUUUCUGUGCCCCCUGCAUCCUUUGAAAUGCUUCGGAAUCAUUGUCUUUGAAGGGUUUGUUUGUGCAGAGAGAAAGAAACGGAGAGCAUGGGGACGGUUUCAUAUAUUGUCAUGUCUGAUUUAUCAAACCCC